Non-coding RNA from Bombyx mori (domestic silkworm), 84 nucleotides. The record is from Rfam. NCBI's taxonomy places the organism in Eukaryota, Metazoa, Arthropoda, Insecta, Lepidoptera, Bombycidae.
AGAGAUCAAAUUUGUAUGGAGCUGGACAGCGUCCCUACGUUUGAGGCUUGAGGCGCUGUUCCAACUCCAUACAAAUUUGAGUUA